RNAcentral lists this ribosomal RNA (253 nucleotides) under uncultured bacterium. RNAcentral describes it as "partial 16S ribosomal RNA". It matches the Rfam family "Bacterial small subunit ribosomal RNA", at positions 524 to 776 of the family's 1533-position model. The record is from RNAcentral.
UACGUAGGGGGCAAGCGUUGUCCGGAUUUAUUGGGCGUAAAGAGCGUGUAGGCGGCCAUACAGGUCCGUUGUGAAAACUGGAGGCUUAACCUCCAGACGUCGAUGGAAACCGUAUGGCUAGAGUCCGGAAGAGGAGAGUGGAAUUCCUGGUGUAGCGGUGAAAUGCGCAGAUAUCAGGAAGAACGCCCGUGGCGAAGGCGGCUCUCUGGGACGGUACUGACGCUGAGACGCGAAAGCGUGGGGAGCGAACAGG